GAUGGGCCCUCCCCCAUCAAACACUAAUUUGAAAACUGCCCUACAAGCUUGUCUACACUUACGGAGGAGGCAUUUUCUCCACUGAGGCUCCCUCCUCUCCAAUGACCCUAGCUUGUAGCAAGUUGACACAAAACUAGCCCAGCACACCUCCCUAGCUUCAGCUGUCAUCUUGACACAAGCUAGAGUCGCCUGGAGAGGGCAAACUGGUAGGGCAUCGUCUUGAUCGGUGACUGACACAGGAUAGCCUAGACUACUGUGAGUUGCGCCAUCCCUAGGCAGGUGGGUCUGGGCUCUGUAAGAAAACCUGCAGAGCAUAGACGUGGGAGUGAGCCAGAAAGCAGCACUCCUCCGUGGUUUCAAGUUCCUGCCUUGAGUGCCUGCCCAGACUUCCUUCACUGAUGGAUUGCAACCUGGAAAUGUAAGCCACAUAAACCCUCUCCUCCUCCUCGAGUUGUUUUCGGUCAGAGUGUCUUAUCACAGCAACAGGGUGAACGCAGAACAGUCUAAAAACCCUUUCUGCGAGGGAACAGGUGACAAUGGACUUCCUGGUACCCGAGCAUGAGUGCAGGUUGGGGACAGGCUCGGGCCAGACAGACCACAGGACCAAGUAAUCACCUCUCUUUUCCGCUGAGGUAAACACGUGGAGCCAGCGGCCGGCAUUGUGUAGACUGUAGAACCCCCUCAGAAAAACGGCACCACAACCAGUCACUUGAAGAUGUCUGCUCUUAAGGACUCAGGAUUUGGAAGUAAGACCCGUCAGCAAACAGAUAGGGGAGCAGGCACAUAGAGAACAGCAUCGACAUGAAAACACGCCAAAAGAAAAUGGAAAGCCACCCUCUCCCAUCUCCUCUUUCUGUGCACCCUUCAAGUUGGUCUGCACACAGCCAGUGACUGGCAGCCCGUAAGAGAAGAAAGCCACCACCUACUACAUUUACCACUGGUUUUCAGGCUUCAGGAAUUCAGGUCCUGCACAUCAGCUGGCCGGGACACCCAUUACUAUCCGGAGAUGAUGAGUAUUUUUCUACCACGGUCUAGAACUCUGGCCAAAACUGGAUUCCACCAGUGGUGCCUUCCUGCAUACUCAGUUACGUCAAUAUUUCAUAAGAGUCCUCAUCAUUU
Non-coding RNA from Peromyscus maniculatus bairdii (prairie deer mouse), 1119 nucleotides. Lineage: Eukaryota; Metazoa; Chordata; Mammalia; Rodentia; Cricetidae. The record is from RefSeq and is a predicted model, not a curated record.